This 416-nucleotide long non-coding RNA is filed under the name Pelobates cultripes (western spadefoot toad). The record is from RNAcentral. Lineage: Eukaryota; Metazoa; Chordata; Amphibia; Anura; Pelobatidae.
GUUGAUCCAAAAGAAGGCAAAAAAAAAAAACAGUUUGAAGCACAAUUUUGCAACAAGCUAGGAAAAAAAUUCCUUCUUGACCCCAGAAUGGCAGUCAGAUUUAUCCUUGGAUCAAGCAGUUAUUACCCUACAUUGAAAGAUUAUAUCCUUGAAUAUUCUGUUCUUGCAAGUAUGCAUCUGGUAGCCGUUUGAACAUCUGUAUGGACUCUGAUAAAACCACUUCCUCAGGCAGAGAAUUCCACAUCCUGAUUGUUCUUACAGUAAAAAAACCUUUCCUUUGCCUUAGGCGAAAUCUUCUUUCUUCCAGUCUAAGCGCAUGGCCUCGUGUCCUAUGUAAAGUCCGGUUUGUGAAUAGAUUUCCACACAAUGGUUUGUAUUGGCCCCGAAUAUAUUUGUAUAAUGUUAUCAUAUCCCCU